RNAcentral lists this ribosomal RNA (504 nucleotides) under uncultured bacterium. RNAcentral's name for it is "partial 16S ribosomal RNA". It matches the Rfam family "Bacterial small subunit ribosomal RNA", at positions 29 to 507 of the family's 1533-position model. The record is from RNAcentral.
ACGAACGCUGGCGGCGUGCCUAAUACAUGCAAGUAGAACGCACAGUUUAUACCGUAGCUUGCUACACCAUAGACUGUGAGUUGCGAACGGGGGAGUAACGCGUAGGUAACCUGCCUGGUAGCGGGGGAUAACUAUUGGAAACGAUAGCUAAUACCGCAUAAUAUUAAUUAUUGCAUGAUAAUUAAUUGAAAGGUGCAAUUGCACCACUACCAGAUGGACCUGCGUUGUAUUAGCUAGUAGGUGAGGGAACGGCUCACCUAGGCGACGAUACAUAGCCGACCUGCGGGGGUGGUCGGCCACACUGGGACUGAGACACGGCCCAGACUCCUACGGGAGGCAGCAGUAGGGAAUCUUCGGCAAUGGACGGAAGUCUGACCGAGCAACGCCGCGUGAGUGAAGAAGGUUUUCGGAUCGUAAAGCUCUGUUGUAAGGGAAGAACGGGUGUGAGAGUGGAAAGUUCACACUGUGACGGUAUCUUACCAGAAAGGGACGGCUAACUACGUG